Molecule: RNA transcript, 2044 nt
Organism: Bubalus bubalis (water buffalo)
Lineage: Eukaryota; Metazoa; Chordata; Mammalia; Artiodactyla; Bovidae
Gene: CDPF1
Gene name: cysteine rich DPF motif domain containing 1
Exons: 5
Source: RefSeq, a predicted model, not a curated record
GCAGCCAGGACGGCAGGCCAAGUCGGCGUGAACGAGUCAAGGCGCGCCAAGGGCUGCCCAGCCCCUGCCAAACAGUAGACCUUGGGUGUGGGACGCCGCCACAAGGCGGAAGCGAAAAUGAAAGGCAUUCAGUCGCGUCUCUUUGCGACCCCAACGACUGUAGCCCCACCAGGCUCCUCUGUCCAUGGGGAUUCUCUAGACAAGAAUACCGGAGUGGGUUACCAUGCCCUCCUCCAGGGCAAUCUUCCUAACCCAGGGAUCGAACCCAGAUCUCCCGCAGCGCGGGCGGAGUCUUCACCUUCUGAGCCACCGCUGAAGCCAAGCGGAAGGCGAAGAGGAAGUCCGCCGGAAGCCCCGCCCCCGCCGCGCAGGCGCCCAGGGCAGACAGUGCGGGCGGGGCCGCGCACUCGCCCAGGGCUGCGCCUCGCCGCCGCGGAGGCAGCGGAGAUGGCGUGUGAGACAGAGCGAACCCCCCUGGGUGUGUUCAAGUGCCAGCUCUGUGCCUUAACAGCUCCAUACAGCUACCAGGGGCGGCAGCCCCCUGACAGCCAGUCUGUCGUCCUCCUGGAGGAGAGCUACGUGAUGAGGGACCCCUUCACCCCCGACAAGGGCAGAUUCCUGGUCGUCGGCUCGAGAUGCAGCAUUUGCGGCAGGCUGGUGUGUGUGGGCCCGGUGAGGAGACUGAGAUUUGGAGAGGUGGAGUUGGCCCAGUUCACUGGGCUAGCUGAGCCUGUCGUGUGAAAGCCCGAGGACGGAUGGAAGUGCAGCUGUGUGGACCCUUACCCCGAGUGACUCUGCAGCCCAAGCAUCCCUGAGUAUUCUGGCUGGGGGCCGAGGGCCAGCAGUGGAGGGGCAGGGGGGCUGUGUCACAGAGCAGAUUGGGACAGCCAGUCUCCAUCCAUCAGAAGUCAAGGUGAUGAGACUGGCAGGUGGGAGGGAGCCUCAGCUCAGGCAAAGGCCCAGAGGGAGCCACACUACUGUGGGGCCGUGUGAGGAGACGGGCAGCUGGCACUGUUGAGGCCCUGUGUGGACCGGAAGCAGCUGGAGUCAGGGGAGUGGGGCCAGGCGGGGGAAAGCCAGGACUGCCGCCCUGGGAGUUCGGGCCGCACUUGGUGCCAGGGGGGACGGGGCCCCAUGUGGCGUCAGAUCUCCACGGUUGUCUUGGUUGAGGCACAGCCUAAGCUCCUGGAAGGAAGGGACCCCGAUACAGGGGACAGAUGAGACAAACAGAGCCUGGCCCAGGUGGUGCUGGCUGGCGGGGCACAGCUGUGGUCCUCAGCACAGGACCCGUCGGGUCCCCUGUGGAAGUCGCAGCUCCCAACAUCACAUCUACAUCCCCGCUGGUGGGAAGGGACAGGAGCGCACAUGCGUGUUCCUUCAGAGAGCACGACCAGGAGGUGGCACGCGGCUGUGGUGACGCCGCUGAGCAGACUCAGCCGCGUGGCCACCCUGGCUGCAGGGGGCUGGGAGGCAGUCCGGGCCCUGCGCUGGAUGGGCACCGGCGCAGUGUUAGUGGAUGCCACGGUCGCCACGGUGCGUGGAGGAGCAGUCCUGGCCUGCCCAGACCAGCCACUCGGCUGUGGCCUCCGGCUCUGUGGGCUGUCCCUCCCGUCCCUGGCUGCUCCCUGCACCGGUGUCACCAAACCCCUGUCCCACCGCCGUGAUAGCCGGGAGCGGGAGGGACCUCGGGUUUCCAGCCCGUUGGGCCUGGCUUGUGCUCAUCCUCUGCCCACGGUGGAGCCCCGCCCUGCAGAAGCCAGGCUGCGCCAUCUCUCCUGGCUGCCUUCGCGGGUCUCACCCAACCAGGCCCACGGCCUGCGGGCUCCAGCCCUGGCUCUUUUGCCCCCAUUGCCCUCCUGGAGGCCCACUGGCGCUUCUCUUAGAUGAGGACCACCCUCCUGGAGGAAUGCAGUUUAUUCUACUCCAAGAGAUUUUGCCUCCCCUGUGUCCAGGACAACGUGGAUGCUUUCCCUCAGGAAAUUCAGCAAGACUUGGAGAAAAGGAAAGUCCCCUCCACGAGGCCUGCCAGCCAGCGCAGUUCUCA